Molecule: ribosomal RNA, 882 nt
Filed under: uncultured bacterium
Lineage: Bacteria
Description: bacterial SSU rRNA
Rfam family: Bacterial small subunit ribosomal RNA
Source: RNAcentral
UNGGAAUUACUGGGCGUAAAGCGGGCGCAGACGGUUACUUAAGCAGGAUGUGAANUCCCCGGGCUCAACCUGGGAACUGCGUUNUGAACUGGGUGACUAGAGUGUNUCAGAGGGAGGUAGAAUUCCACGUGUAACAGUGAAAUGCGUAGAGAUGUGGAGGAAUACCGAUGGCGAAGGCAGCCUCCUGGGAUAACACUGACGUUCAUGCCCGAAAGCGUGGGUAGCAAACAGGAUUAGAUACCCUGGUAGUCCACGCCCUAAACGAUGUCGAUUAGCUGUUGGGCAGCAUGACUGCUUAGUAGCGAAGCUAACGCGUGAAAUCGACCGCCUGGGGAGUACGGUCGCAAGAUUAAAACUCAAAGGAAUUGACGGGGACCCGCACAAGCGGUGGAUGAUGUGGAUUAAUUCGAUGCAACGCGAAGAACCUUACCUGGUCUUGACAUGUACGGAACCCUCCAGAGACGGAGGGGUGCCUUCGGGAGCCGUAACACAGGUGCUGCAUGGCUGUCGUCAGCUCGUGUCGUGAGAUGUUAGGUUAAGUCCCGCAACGAGCGCAACCCUUGUCAUUAGUUGCCAUCAUUAAGUUGGGCACUCUAAUGAGACUGCCGGUGACAAGCCGGAGGAAGGUGGGGAUGACGUCAAGUCCUCAUGGCCCUUAUGACCAGGGCUUCACACGUCAUACAAUGGUCGGUACAGAGGGUAGCCAAGCCGCGAGGUGGAGCCAAUCUCACAAAACCGAUCGUAGUCCGGAUUGCACUCUGCAACUCGGGUGCAUGAAGUCGGAAUCGCUAGUAAUCGCAGGUCAGCAUACUGCGGUGAAUACGUUCCCGGGUCUUGUACACACCGCCCGUCACACCAUGGGAGUGGGGGAUACCAGAAGUA